RNAcentral lists this ribosomal RNA (361 nucleotides) under Serratia nematodiphila. RNAcentral describes it as "bacterial SSU rRNA". It matches the Rfam family "Bacterial small subunit ribosomal RNA", at positions 161 to 517 of the family's 1533-position model. Lineage: Bacteria; Pseudomonadati; Pseudomonadota; Gammaproteobacteria; Enterobacterales; Yersiniaceae. The record is from RNAcentral.
AGCUAAUACCGCAUAACGUCGCAAGACCAAAGAGGGGGACCUUCGGGCCUCUUGCCAUCAGAUGUGCCCAGAUGGGAUUAGCUAGUAGGUGGGGUAAUGGCUCACCUAGGCGACGAUCCCUAGCUGGUCUGAGAGGAUGACCAGCCACACUGGAACUGAGACACGGUCCAGACUCCUACGGGAGGCAGCAGUGGGGAAUAUUGCACAAUGGGCGCAAGCCUGAUGCAGCCAUGCCGCGUGUGUGAAGAAGGCCUUCGGGUUGUAAAGCACUUUCAGCGAGGAGGAAGGUGGUGAGCUUAAUACGCUCAUCAAUUGACGUUACUCGCAGAAGAAGCACCGGCUAACUCCGUGCCAGCAGCCG